AUUGAACGCUGGCGGCAUGCUUUACACAUGCAAGUCGAACGGUAACAGGGAGCUUGCUCCGCUGACGAGUGGCGAACGGGUGAGUAAUGCAUCGGAACGUACCCAGUCGUGGGGGAUAACGUAGCGAAAGUUACGCUAAUACCGCAUACGUCCUGAGGGAGAAAGCGGGGGACCGUAAGGCCUCGCGCGAUUGGAGCGGCCGAUGUCGGAUUAGCUAGUUGGUAGGGUAAAGGCCUACCAAGGCGACGAUCCGUAGCGGGUCUGAGAGGAUGAUCCGCCACACUGGGACUGAGACACGGCCCAGACUCCUACGGGAGGCAGCAGUGGGGAAUUUUGGACAAUGGGCGAAAGCCUGAUCCAGCCAUGCCGCGUGAGUGAAGAAGGCCUUCGGUUGUAAGACUCUUCUAGCCGGAAGAAAUACGCGCAGGAUAAUACUCUGCGUGGAUGACGGUACCGGAAGAAGAAGACACCGGCUAACUACGUGCCAGCAGCCGCGGUAAACGU
RNAcentral lists this ribosomal RNA (504 nucleotides) under uncultured bacterium. RNAcentral's name for it is "bacterial SSU rRNA". It matches the Rfam family "Bacterial small subunit ribosomal RNA", at positions 29 to 528 of the family's 1533-position model. The record is from RNAcentral.